This is a long non-coding RNA of Helianthus annuus (common sunflower), 316 nucleotides long. RefSeq lists it as uncharacterized. NCBI's taxonomy places the organism in Eukaryota, Viridiplantae, Streptophyta, Magnoliopsida, Asterales, Asteraceae. The transcript has 3 exons. The record is from RefSeq and is a predicted model, not a curated record.
AUUAUUAGGUUUUUGUGAGAUUACGAUUGAGGAAUUGUGUUUGGAUUGGCAUCGGGAUUGAUUCAUGGAGAAAUCGAUGAGAGAUUGAGGAAAAUGAUGCCGUAAUUAGCGGUUGAUUGUCGAACGACGUCGUAUGGAGUAGUUUCUUCGAGUGGAUUUUGGCUAUGCUUCCGACAAGUUGAUCCUGAGCAAGUUGUUAGGCGUUGUUCAUCUCGAACGAUAUCUCUACAGAGCUGGUGCAAGUUGCAAGAUCAGGGAAUGUAAGCAGGCAUCUGUGGCAUGAAAAGAAAAAGACGCGGAUAAAAUGAAAAGGAUG